ACGUGUCACACGGUGCGUUUCGAUCGUGUGUGAUUCUUAUGGUCUUUGGUUAUAUUUGGGCUUUGGAUUAACUUCUGAGAGUACAGCCCGCUUAUCAUCUCUCCCUAGAUGAAACGACGUGAUUUCGUUUAGGGUUAAACCCGUGUUUUUCUUUGCCUCUCCAGAGAUCAAACGACAAUGGAGAUUCUUCCUGAAUCGUAAUUCUAGGGUUCCUCCUCUUUACGAAGAACCAACUCUGUUACCAACAAUGCCAGUUCUGAAAAGAAGUGUGACUCAACGCUUUGUUAGUAAUCUUUGUUUGGACUAUGUUCAUGUCGUUUCAGUCUCAAUCCUUCACCUCUGAAACCGUUACAAAUCGCCUUGAUUCAACUUCAUUGACCAAUUAACUCUUCCUGCCCACUCCGACCAAGAUCUUGCAUUCAAUGAAUCUUUUUCAUCUUUCACCUAUAAAAAUAUUUUGGGAAGGAAGCCACAAAUAUAGAGGCGUGGAAAUAUUAGCUUGAUAUAUAGUUUCAGGUCGAUUUGAUUUUGAUUUAUUUGUAGGAUGUUGAUAAAGCUGUGUAGGAGAGCUAUUCAAGAGGACUGAUCAUAUUCUCUAUGUAGACAAAACCAUGAGAGGUAUUGAAUAAGUUAUAGGUUUUUGACUAUACUUCUACGUUUCUUCUUUUCCUUAUGUUCUCAUCAGAUUUUCUAAAAAUGUCAAACUUUGAAAAAUGUAUUCAGUUUCUUUUGCUCUUCAUAAGCCAGGGUUCAUCCAGAAGGAAUGAAACAACGAUCCAAGCUUCUUUGCUCCUUUGAUUCUCACUUUCCAGAGAUCUCUCAUGAUCAUAAAAACAACCUUGCAACAGUAGAUUCAUUAGGCUCGAAGAUUGCCCCUAUUGCUGCUGUCUGCCCUUACGCAUUCACUUAUUCUAAUCUAUUAUUACUCUCUUGGUUAAACAUGACUACGUAAUAGCUUCUUGAACACCCAUUAAAUUUUUUUCUUUCAGGCCGCCGGUUCUCAAAUGCAACGUCGGGGACACAUAUAUCUUUUGACAUAGAGACUAAUGCAGGGGAGAUUUUGUUUCUGAGCUGGUCUGGAGAAACACUGGGAACAACCCAGAUCCUUCAUUCCUGAGAGGAUAUGCCAAGGUUGAACCAUUGAGCAUAUCUAAGCUGAAUGAGUUCAUCAUCGCAGCCGAGCCUCAGGAGACUGAAUUUGUCCGCACAGGAAGGGUGACUGGAAUCAAGAUGGACAAAGGCUGGUGUUACGUUUCCUUCUCCAGUUGCACAAGAAGCUCCAAAGAACUUGCGCAUCUUUUACUUGCAUGUCCUGCAACAACACAAGCGUUGUUGGAGUGCUCUGGUAUAUUGGAUCAUCUGUUCUUACCACUUUGAAAAUUCUCACAUACAAUCAACAUGGUUUUCAUACAAUUUGUUACACGGUACCGGAUGGAGAUGAGCAUUGCUGACAAUGCGGAUGAGGGUCUAUUUGUGGCUUUUGAUGGAGAGAUGAAGAAACUACAUAACGUGCGCGCCUAUGAAGCUGGUCAUUUAAUGAUAUAGUUGGUAAGACAUACAGCUUCCAGGUCAGGGUAGACAUGAACAACUUCACUGCCAACCAUCAGACCUUCACUAUCUCUCGCAUGAACAAGCGUGAUGGUGACGAUGAUGACGGAGACGACUUGCCUGGAAACCCCUCAGCCCUUCCUAACGUUUGGCAUCGAAGGUAACGAACGUGUGGAAACCUCAUCUCCAGGAACAUCCUCCAGUGGUCCUGCCGCCAAGAAGCCUCUCCUUUCAACAAGUGGUCAAGAAGGCACGAAAAUCUUGAGUGAACAUGAUGGAGUUUCUAGAGUUAGUUUUCCUCUUUCAAUAAUGCUUAGGCAUCAAUGUUGGUUUUUAAAAAAAUUGAAUUCUCGAGUCAGAUUUCCUCUUUGAAUAAUGAUUAGGCAUCAAAGUUUUUUUUUUAAUUUUCUCCUCAUCUGGAGUUUGCUAUGC
Long non-coding RNA from Brassica rapa (field mustard), 1980 nucleotides. RefSeq lists it as uncharacterized. NCBI's taxonomy places the organism in Eukaryota, Viridiplantae, Streptophyta, Magnoliopsida, Brassicales, Brassicaceae. The record is from RefSeq and is a predicted model, not a curated record.